UUUAUUGGAGAGUUUGAUCCUGGCUCAGGAUGAACGCUGGCGGCGUGCCUAAUACAUGCAAGUCGAGCGAACGGAUUAAGAGCUUGCUCUUAUGAAGUUAGCGGCGGACGGGUGAGUAACACGUGGGUAACCUGCCCAUAAGACUGGGAUAACUCCGGGAAACCGGGGCUAAUACCGGAUAACAUUUUGAACCGCAUGGUUCGAAAUUGAAAGGCGGCUUCGGCUGUCAUUUAUGGAUGGACCCGCGUCGCAUUAGCUAGUUGGUGAGGUAACGGCUCACCAAGGCAACGAUGCGUAGCCGACCUGAGAGGGUGAUCGGCCACACUGGGACUGAGACACGGCCCAGACUCCUACGGGAGGCAGCAGUAGGGAAUCUUCCGCAAUGGACGAAAGUCUGACGGAGCAACGCCGCGUGAGUGAUGAAGGCUUUCGGGUCGUAAAACUCUGUUGUUAGGGAAGAACAAGUGCUAGUUGAAUAAGCUGGCACCUUGACGGUACCUAACCAGAAAGCCACGGCUAACUACGUGCCAGCAGCCGCGGUAAUACGUAGGUGGCAAGCGUUAUCCGGAAUUAUUGGGCGUAAAGCGCGCGCAGGUGGUUUCUUAAGUCUGAUGUGAAAGCCCACGGCUCAACCGUGGAGGGUCAUUGGAAACUGGGAGACUUGAGU
Molecule: ribosomal RNA, 667 nt
Filed under: Bacillus paranthracis
Lineage: Bacteria; Bacillati; Bacillota; Bacilli; Caryophanales; Bacillaceae
Description: bacterial SSU rRNA
Rfam family: Bacterial small subunit ribosomal RNA
Source: RNAcentral